ACCGAUAAAAACAUAUCGAUUGUUUUUAUACGAUACCGUGAACCACUCCAACGGGCAGCGGUAUGACAAAACUCAUCCCGCCGGUGCCAUUCCGACGGCCCCGAGCAAAUUUUAUGGAAGGAG
Molecule: non-coding RNA, 123 nt
Submitted as: unclassified sequences
Source: Rfam